RNAcentral lists this long non-coding RNA (1883 nucleotides) under Orbicella faveolata. RNAcentral describes it as "uncharacterized LOC110053104". The record is from RNAcentral. Lineage: Eukaryota; Metazoa; Cnidaria; Anthozoa; Scleractinia; Merulinidae.
UACACACCCUUAUCACGAGCCCACCAGAUCAUCUCUCUCGUGCGCCCCACACAAGAGAUACUUAAUAACUAGAGUGGAACCCUCGUCAGUACGGUCACCAACGAGCCACGAAAUUUUAGCCGUAUCAUAACAGGGUGGCCGUAUUUGAAAUCGGGGCGGGGUCAAAUUUCAUGGCUUGUCCAUUUUAACUGACUUCUUGACAGUGAUAUAUCACAAUUGCAAAAAGAGUACCGCUCGUUAUUGUUUCUCGAUAUUUGUUUUGUUUGGUCUAUUGUGAAUUUUCAAAAAUGCGUAUUUGGUUCAAGUGGCGUGCUAACGGGGUAAAAUUUUAAAGGAUCAUACAGGUUGGGAUUUGAGAAUGUGACCGUUAGCCGUGUUAACGGGGUUUUCUUAGAAGAACAUAUAUGGGCGUUUCGCCGUGAAAAAAAUAAAAGUGGCCGUAACUGAACGAGGUGACCGUAAGGCAGGUUCCACUGUGAUCACUAAAUGAACUCUUAAUUUGACCCGCAAGAUUUGACGGGUGUUGCAGAUUCUCAAUGGUACCCAAUUAUUCAGUCCAACGGGUUGAAGUGACAUCGUUACGCUCAAUUCGCUUUAAAUGAGCUGACAUAUCUUUACUUGAGAAGAAUCUUUUAAAGGAACGUCUGAAAAUUUAUCUGCGCGGGUAAAUAUCCAAUUCGAAUUCGAAGUAAAGACAUAUUUUUUGCCUCGUUCUUUGCAACAAAUACCUGUCAAAGAGCAUGUUGAAAACAGGACCAAAGUAAUUACAUAUUGAUUCGUUCAAAUUGUUAUUCCAAUGAUUCUUUAGCAGGUUAAAAAAUUUUGCCGAGUCAAUCGGUCGAAAUAUCCCAAUUUAAAAUUCAGGUCUCGUUUGGCGCUAAACAUUCAACACCGCUAAUCUGUUCCGUGGCAAGAAAGUCAUUUUCACACGUCAGUCACUAAUCAGGAUGAGUGACUACACAACCAAGAGGCUAUAUGUCCCUCCCUUACUCUGGCUUGUCGCCCUGGCGAUUCUCUCUCAUUCAAGGUGUGUCUCGGCCGUCAGACGCCAGGGGUCCCCAAUGGUGAUGGACCCGUGUUCUAUGAAAUGCCAAACUGCAGUAUUGAGUCCUUGCGUUGCGAAAUGCGGAGUAGAUGUCGAAUGCCAGCAGGAAUGCAAAGAGGAUUUUAACAAGUGCCUUGAUGAGUGUCAUGCAAAAAUCAAGAAGGAGAAAAAACGAGAUUGAAGUAAUCGUAAUUGUAGACUUUUGUUGGCAUGGUAACAAUUUCAGCACCAAGAAUCAAGACCAAGUCGAUUCUCUCCAUAAUAUCUUAUAUAUGUGUGAUCAUCUUAAUAUGCUUUUCAAUGAAUUAAUACUCUAACGGGAAUUUAAUAUUCACAUGAAUCGAGAGCCUAUGUUCACCAACUUGGUAGGUACCAAGUCUUGUUCUCAAACACUGUAAUUCUUCAUCUAUAGCGUUUGAAUAGCACUGAGUUUUGGCUGUGUUCAAAGUUGUUCAAGGUUACUAGCUCAUACAUAGUCAUUCUGUAUUCUCUUCCUACCUGUUCGUCUUAGCCGGCGGGUCCUUAGUACGAAGAAAAGGUUGCUCUCGAGACACGUGAUUUGAUUGAAUAGAUUCUUACAUUACUAUUUUCUUUGAUUCAACGAUGAUGCAAUUCCUUCCAAAAACUAUCCACUGUUCGAUUCGAAACAUAUUUACCUCCCUCUGGACAACCUGUAUUUCUACUGCAUCUACAUUUGUACGCUAAGUUACAAUAUUUUAAUACCAACCAAGAGGAACUGAUACAAGCGACGUUUACGUUAUCCUUCUCAAUAUCUUUGUUAAAAUUAAACACAAGGACGUUCGCGCCCAUCAUGUGCGCAUCCUUAUUGCCCACGUGA